This 73-nucleotide transfer RNA is filed under the name Myotis davidii. It matches the Rfam family "tRNA". Rfam says of the family: Transfer RNA (tRNA) molecules are approximately 80 nucleotides in length. Their secondary structure includes four short double-helical elements and three loops (D, anti-codon, and T loops). The record is from Rfam by way of RNAcentral. Lineage: Eukaryota; Metazoa; Chordata; Mammalia; Chiroptera; Vespertilionidae.
GCCGGUUUGGCUCAGUGGAUAGAGCGUUGGCCUGCGGACUCAAGGGUUCCAGGUUCGAUUCCGGUCAAGGGCA